Long non-coding RNA from Athalia rosae (coleseed sawfly), 425 nucleotides. RefSeq lists it as uncharacterized. Lineage: Eukaryota; Metazoa; Arthropoda; Insecta; Hymenoptera; Athaliidae. The record is from RefSeq and is a predicted model, not a curated record. The transcript has 3 exons.
GUUGAAUACAGAAGGCAUUCGAUAGCACCUUCAGAGUUAUAUUGUGAAAAAUAUCAUAUAUCUCAUGACAAGUCGGCCAGUUGUGAUAUACCAACCAGUGAAAGGCAGCGUUGACUGUUUUUAUUUCCACAGGGCUUUUUUCACAAAACUGAUUAGUUGAAUAAGCUCGUGAGUGUCCGGAGGAGUACUGAGUGCUUGAUCAGCUAUGCUUUCAUACUCGUCGCAGAUCCUAAAAAGUAUACAGGAAUAAUAUCUUUGGUCAGUGAUGAGGAAUAUUGGCGCUCAAUUGAUGAAACUUUUCUAUCAGUACAGCGUAUUCUUCCAAAUUAUGAGGAGGAUCUGCGUAAAUGAAGUUAAGAAUCGAUCGAUUCUCUUCAUCAUUGAUCAGUGAAAUGUAGUGGUUGAAAUCCUGGAGUCGCUUUUCC